GACAACGCUGGCGGCGUGCUUAACACAUGCAAGUCGAACGGUGAACCAGAGCUUGCUCUGGGGAUCAGUGGCGAACGGGUGAGUAACACGUGGGCAACCUGCCCCAGACUCUGGGAUAACCUCGGGAAAACCGAUGCUAAUACCGGAUACGACCACUUCGGACAUCCGACGGUGGUGGAAAGUUUUUCGGUCUGGGAUGGGCCCGCGGCCUAUCAGCUAGUUGGUGGGGUAAUGGCCUACCAAGGCGACGACGGGUAGCCGGCCUGAGAGGGCGACCGGCCACACUGGAACUGAGACACGGUCCAGACUCCUACGGGAGGCAGCAGUGGGGAAUAUUGCACAAUGGGCGAAAGCCUGAUGCAGCGACGCCGCGUGAGGGACGACGGCCUUCGGGUUGUAAACCUCUUUCAGCAGGGACGAAGCGAAAGUGACUGUACCUGCAGAAGAAGCACCGGCUAACUACGUG
This 466-nucleotide ribosomal RNA is filed under the name uncultured bacterium. Its description in RNAcentral is "bacterial SSU rRNA". It matches the Rfam family "Bacterial small subunit ribosomal RNA", at positions 32 to 507 of the family's 1533-position model. The record is from RNAcentral.